Molecule: ribosomal RNA, 447 nt
Filed under: uncultured bacterium
Lineage: Bacteria
Description: bacterial SSU rRNA
Rfam family: Bacterial small subunit ribosomal RNA
Source: RNAcentral
UCGGGAAUUUUGGGCAAUGGGGGAAACCCUGACCCAGCAACGCCGCGUGAAGGAUGAAGUAUUUCGGUAUGUAGACUUCGAAAGAAUAGGAAGAAUAAAUGACGGUACUAUUUAUAAGGUCCGGCUAACUACGUGCCAGCAGCCGCGGUAAUACGUAGGGACCAAGCGUUGUUCGGAUUUACUGGGCGUAAAGGGCGCGUAGGCGGCAAUUCAAGUCAUCUGUGAAAUCUCCGGGCUUAACUCGGAACGGUCAGAUGAUACUGCUUUGCUAGAGUGCAGAAGGGGCAAUCGGAAUUCUUGGUGUAGCGGUGAAAUGCGUAGAUAUCAAGAGGAACACCAGUGGCGAAGGCGGCCUCCUGGACGAUGACUGACGCUGAGACGCGAAAGCGUGGGGAGCAAACAGGAUUAGAUACCCGAGUAGUCCCUGAGCGGGCUGGCAAGGCGCAU